GGCUAGCUGCAUGUGCCACACGGUCGAGUUAGCUAGCUACUGCGACAACUAUACACGGUGAGUAGUUCUCCCGGGUGUUUUCCUGUGGUUUUCUCGGUUCAGCUCCAACGUUUGAAAAAGACUUGUGUUACUAGUAUAAUUUAUAAUUUUACAUAUUUAUAAAAAAGCUAAAUAAGACAAAGUAGUUAAACGUAAUUAAAAAGUCAACUGCGUUAAUUAAAAAAAAUCAGAGCGAGUACUUAUUAUUGAACUUUUAAUUCUCUUCUUCUCCAUGCAUGCAUGCAAGGUGAUUAAAUUACGGCAGGUCAUCAAGUAAACCAUGUAAGAAAAAGAGAGGUGGGGCGUCAAGUAGAACACACUGGCGCGUGGAGACCGAAUCCAAGAAGGUCAAGUCGCGAUCAGACGGAUGGUGGUGAAAUCCAUGCUGGCUUCCUGACUGGGAGUCUGGAACUGUGAUGGGUCAACUUAGUUAAUUGUUGUUCUUUCAUUGGUUAUUAGUUAAUUUGUUUGUUGGUUAUAUCCCUAGCUCUCCGUUGAUUAUUUUUUAAAUAAACUGUGUAGACUUUGACUAUCACUUUAGAAGCUAUAUAUAUAUACCACUAGGUAUAUAUUUUUUAUUUCGCAACAAUAUUUGUUCUAUAAGUAUUAUAAUAGAAUUUGUGAAAAAUUAAUCAAAAUCUUAUCUUAAAAACUUUCUAGAAAUUAAUUAAGAUAUGUCCAGUAAAAAUCAACGGAGGCGACAUAUAACUGGAUCCGUGGAUAUAUAGUCCAAUGAGACAAGAUGUCCUUUGCAAUGAUGUAACAUGUGGUAUGUGUUGUUUUCAUUCUAAGAAAGUAGCACCAUCAAAUGUAUACUGGUCAGUGGCCAGUUGGUCACCCUUGGUGUUCAUACGUGAAUAAUAUAUCCCAAUAUAUAUCUGUUAUAAAACCGGCCCUGAAA
This 940-nucleotide long non-coding RNA is filed under the name Oryza brachyantha (malo sina). RNAcentral describes it as "long non-coding RNA (OBRA_LNC001619)". The record is from RNAcentral. Lineage: Eukaryota; Viridiplantae; Streptophyta; Magnoliopsida; Poales; Poaceae.